Molecule: long non-coding RNA, 898 nt
Organism: Ornithorhynchus anatinus (platypus)
Lineage: Eukaryota; Metazoa; Chordata; Mammalia; Monotremata; Ornithorhynchidae
Exons: 2
Source: RefSeq, a predicted model, not a curated record
UGGGCCCUGCGGCCUCCUCGGGCAUCUCGCCUUCCCAGAGAAUGGCCAGCCCGUCGCCAUGGAGACCGACGCCCGCAAGAACCGGGCCAUUGUGACUGCCGGCGGGGGACCCGGCAAGAGGGGGGGCUUGGCAUCCUUCCACCCCCUCCCCCUCUCUGCCACACCUCCCCCUUCGUAGCCGCUCGAUCGAAGCCCCGGGUGCGGGAGGGAAUUCGUAAGUAAACCCUCGCCCCGCUCUUUAACCCGUGAGCUCAUCCCUCCCGAACUGAGCACUGCGAAUUCCAGCACGGGAGACGGGCGGAAAAUGAAUCUACCCGCAGGAGGACAAGGGCCCUGAAGAGAUGGGUGCGUGCGAAAGGAAAUGCUAUAGAGUCGAUGCUUACUGUGUGGCAGAUCGAUUGGCAAGGGACACGGCAGAGCCUAAGGAUAGGAGACAAGGAAGAUGCCUACGGAGAGAGGAAAGAGAAGGGGAAGGACAGGGUUCGGGUGGGAAGAAGAGAAGUUCUAUUUCGGACCCGUCGGGUACGAGGCGUCAGCCGACGCGGAAACGCGCCGAAGGAAGGAGGAAAUGCAAGACUGCCGAGAAGGACCGGCGAUGAAGACAUGGGAAUCAUCUGGGUAGAAAUGGGAGUCGAAGCCGAGGGACCGCUGAGGGACUUCCAAACGAGUUCUCCGAGGGAGUGGGUGGAGACGGAGAACAGAAGGGGACCCGGAACUACGCCUCCAAGGACCCCCGUUGAAGGAUGGAAGGCGGAGGAGGAGCCCACGCGAGAGGCGGAGGAAAAGCAGCCCGAGAGAUAGGAAGAGAACCAGGAGAGAGUGGUGGACGCCAUCCUUGCCCCCGGGAGCUUGCGGUGUAGAGGGAAAGACAAAUUAAAAUAAAUUAAGGAUACGGAAA